Molecule: long non-coding RNA, 640 nt
Filed under: Fukomys damarensis (Damara mole-rat)
Lineage: Eukaryota; Metazoa; Chordata; Mammalia; Rodentia; Bathyergidae
Description: lncRNA (ENSFDAG00000021581.1)
Source: RNAcentral
UGCAGGGAGUGUCCUGGCCACCGCUGAGGCUGAGCGCUAGGGGGCGGGCUGGAAGUUUGCAGGCGCCCCCUGGGAAGCCUUCCUGGAGGGCGCACUGUGCAAGGCAUGCGGUUGGUUGGAGAGGGGCGCGGGGCAAAGAAGCCAGCAGAGCGGGAGAAGCGGGCCAAGGGGAAGCCAGGUGGCCUCAGACAGCCGCGCCAGGAAAAGCAAGAGGAGAAACAGCCAGCCCAGGCGGCGUUGUCAGCGGAAGCGGCCUCGGAAGCGGCAGGUGACCCCCCCUCAGCCCUCCCGCCUGUGGAACAACUGCGAGCCCUCCGCCUGGAUCCGCAACCAGUGACUAUCCAGGCCCGCAAGGACUUUGGCAGCCUGGGCAAGAAAGAGAGGCACAGGCGCAAGGCUCACCUGAAGCGCAGGAGUCUCCUCAUCCAGGACAUCCCUGGCUUCUGGGCCACAGCGGUAUCCGUUUGUGCUGAACCUCUUGGAGGCACCUAAGACCUGAGCGUUGAGCUCCUUGACCCCAGGCAGAUGGCCCGCCAUCCAGAGAUGUCGGCAGUGAUCAGUGAGGAAGAUGAAGACAUGCUGAGCUACAUGACCAAUUUGAAGGUGAGAAUGAGGAGCUUCCAGGCAGGGAGGCCCCCGA